GAUGAAGAACGUAGUGAAAUGCGAUACUUGGUGUGAAUUGCAGAAUCCCGUGAACCAUCGAGUCUUUGAACGCAAGUUGCGCCCGAAGCCAUUAGGCCGAGGGCACGCCUGCCUGGGCGUCACACGUCGUUGCCCCCCCAUCUACUCCUUCGGGAUUGCGGGGGGCGGAUGAUGGCCUCCCGUGCGCCUCGUCGCGCGGUUGGCAUAAAUGCCAAGUCCUCGGCGACGCACGCCACGACAAUCGGUGGUUGCGAAACCUCGGUUGCCCGUCGUGUGCGGUCGUCGCGCAUCGAGGGCUCGAAAAAAUUGCCGGGCUCCGGCUCGGCUUUCAACGCGACCCCAGGUCAGGCGGGGUUACCCGCUGAAUUUAAGCAUAUCAAUAAGCGGAGGA
RNAcentral lists this unclassified non-coding RNA (391 nucleotides) under soil metagenome. Its description in RNAcentral is "partial contains 5.8S ribosomal RNA, internal transcribed spacer 2, and large subunit ribosomal RNA". The stretch from base 1 to 122 matches the Rfam family "5.8S ribosomal RNA", at positions 35 to 154 of the family's 154-position model. The record is from RNAcentral.